AGAGUUUGAUCCUGGCUCAGGAUGAACGCUAGCUACAGGCUUAACACAUGCAAGUCGAGGGGCAGCAUGGUCUUAGCUUGCUAAGGCCGAUGGCGACCGGCGCACGGGUGAGUAACACGUAUCCAACCUGCCGUCUACUCUUGGACAGCCUUCUGAAAGGAAGAUUAAUACAAGAUGGCAUCAUGAGUCCACAUGUUCACAUGAUUAAAGGUAUUCCGGUGGACGAUGGGGAUGCGUUCCAUUAGAUAGUAGGCGGGGUAACGGCCCACCUAGUCUUCGAUGGAUAGGGGUUCUGAGAGGAAGGUCCCCCACAUUGGAACUGAGACGCGGUCCAAACUCCUACGGGAGGCAGCAGUGAGGAAUAUUGGUCAAUGGGCGAGAGCCUGAACCAGCCAAGUAGCGUGAAGGAUGACUGCCCUAUGGGUUGUAAACUUCUUUUAUAAAGGAAUAAAGUCGGGUAUGCAUACCCGUUUGCAUGUACUUUAUGAAUAAGGAUCGGCUAACUCCGUGCCAGCAGCCGCGGUAAUACGGAGGAUCCGAGCGUUAUCCGGAUUUAUUGGGUUUAAAGGGAGCGUAGAUGGAUGUUUAAGUCAGUUGUGAAAGUUUGCGGCUCAACCGUAAAAUUGCAGUUGAUACUGGAUAUCUUGAGUGCAGUUGAGGCAGGCGGAAUUCGUGGUGUAGCGGUGAAAUGCUUAGAUAUCACGAAGAACUCCGAUUGCGAAGGCAGCCUGCUAAGCUGCAACUGACAUUGAGGCUCGAAAGUGUGGGUAUCAAACAGGAUUAGAUACCCUGGUAGUCCACACGGUAAACGAUGAAUACUCGCUGUUUGCGAUAUACAGCAAGCGGCCAAGCGAAAGCGUUAAGUAUUCCACCUGGGGAGUACGCCGGCAACGGUGAAACUCAAAGGAAUUGACGGGGGCCCGCACAAGCGGAGGAACAUGUGGUUUAAUUCGAUGAUACGCGAGGAACCUUACCCGGGCUUAAAUUGCAGAUGAAUUACGGUGAAAGCCGUAAGCCGCAAGGCAUCUGUGAAGGUGCUGCAUGGUUGUCGUCAGCUCGUGCCGUGAGGUGUCGGCUUAAGUGCCAUAACGAGCGCAACCCUUGUUGUCAGUUACUAACAGGUUCCGCUGAGGACUCUGACAAGACUGCCAUCGUAAGAUGUGAGGAAGGUGGGGAUGACGUCAAAUCAGCACGGCCCUUACGUCCGGGGCUACACACGUGUUACAAUGGGGGGUACAGAGGGCCGCUACCACGCGAGUGGAUGCCAAUCCCCAAAACCUCUCUCAGUUCGGACUGGAGUCUGCAACCCGACUCCACGAAGCUGGAUUCGCUAGUAAUCGCGCAUCAGCCACGGCGCGGUGAAUACGUUCCCGGGCCUUGCACACACCGCCCGUCA
This 1396-nucleotide ribosomal RNA is filed under the name uncultured bacterium. RNAcentral describes it as "16S ribosomal RNA". It matches the Rfam family "Bacterial small subunit ribosomal RNA". The record is from RNAcentral.